This 619-nucleotide ribosomal RNA is filed under the name uncultured bacterium. RNAcentral describes it as "bacterial SSU rRNA". It matches the Rfam family "Bacterial small subunit ribosomal RNA", at positions 338 to 954 of the family's 1533-position model. The record is from RNAcentral.
CCUACGGGAGGCAGCAGUGGGGAAUUUUGGACAAUGGGCGCAAGCCUGAUCCAGCAAUGCCGCGUGCAGGAUGAAGGCCUUCGGGUUGUAAACUGCUUUUGUACGGAACGAAAAAGUCUGCCCUAAUACGGUGGGCCCAUGACGGUACCGUAAGAAUAAGCACCGGCUAACUACGUGCCAGCAGCCGCGGUAAUACGUAGGGUGCGAGCGUUAAUCGGAAUUACUGGGCGUAAAGCGUGCGCAGGCGGUUAUAUAAGACAGAUGUGAAAUCCCCGGGCUCAACCUGGGACCUGCAUUUGUGACUGUAUAGCUAGAGUACGGUAGAGGGGGAUGGAAUUCCGCGUGUAGCAGUGAAAUGCGUAGAUAUGCGGAGGAACACCGAUGGCGAAGGCAAUCCCCUGGACCUGUACUGACGCUCAUGCACGAAAGCGUGGGGAGCAAACAGGAUUAGAUACCCUGGUAGUCCACGCCCUAAACGAUGUCAACUGGUUGUUGGGUCUUCACUGACUCAGUAACGAAGCUAACGCGUGAAGUUGACCGCCUGGGGAGUACGGCCGCAAGGUUGAACUUAAAGGAAUUGACGGCUGAGACGNGCGACGGACGACGACGAGGGAGGAGG